AUGAAGUUUUAGUGACUGAGUGGCGGACGGGUGAGUAACGCGUGGGUAACCUGCCUCACACAGGGGGAUAACAGUUGGAAACGGCUGCUAAUACCGCAUAAGCGCACAGUACCGCAUGGUACAGUGUGAAAAACUCCGGUGGUGUGAGAUGGACCCGCGUCUGAUUAGCUAGUUGGCAGGGUAACGGCCUACCAAGGCGACGAUCAGUAGCCGACCUGAGAGGGUGACCGGCCACAUUGGGACUGAGACACGGCCCAAACUCCUACGGGAGGCAGCAGUGGGGAAUAUUGCACAAUGGGGGAAACCCUGAUGCAGCGACGCCGCGUGAGCGAAGAAGUAUUUCGGUAUGUAAAGCUCUAUCAGCAGGGAAGAAGAAAUGACGGUACCUGACUAAGAAGCACCGGCUAAAUACGUGCCAGCAGCCGCGGUAAUACGUAUGGUGCAAGCGUUAU
Molecule: ribosomal RNA, 452 nt
Filed under: uncultured Lachnospiraceae bacterium
Lineage: Bacteria; Bacillati; Bacillota; Clostridia; Lachnospirales; Lachnospiraceae
Description: bacterial SSU rRNA
Rfam family: Bacterial small subunit ribosomal RNA
Source: RNAcentral